GAAUUCGCCCUUAGAGUUUGAUCCUGGCUCAGGAUGAACGCUGGCGGCGUGCUUAACACAUGCAAGUCGAGCGAGAAAAGUUCUUCGGAGCUUUUCUAGCGGCGGACGGGUGAGUAACACGUGGGCAACCUACCUCAUAGAGGGGAAUAGCCUCCCGAAAGGGAGAUUAAUACCGCAUAACAUUAUUGAAAGGCAUCUUUUAAUAAUCAAAGGAGCAAUCCGCUAUGAGAUGGGCCCGCGGCGCAUUAGCUAGUUGGUGAGGUAACGGCUCACCAAGGCGACGAUGCGUAGCCGACCUGAGAGGGUGAUCGGCCACAUUGGAACUGAGACACGGUCCAGACUCCUACGGGAGGCAGCAGUGGGGAAUAUUGCACAAUGGGGGAAACCCUGAUGCAGCAACGCCGCGUGAGUGAUGAAGGUCUUCGGAUUGUAAAGCUCUGUCUUUAGGGACGAUAAUGACGGUACCUAAGGAGGAAGCCACGGCUAACUACGUGCCAGCAGCCGCGGUAAUACGUAGGUGGCAAGCGUUAUCCGGAUUUACUGGGCGUAAAGGGAGCGUAGGCGGAUACUUAAGUGGGAUGUGAAAUACCCGAGCUUAACUUGGGAGCUGCAUUCCAAACUGGGUAUCUAGAGUGCAGGAGAGGAGAAUGGAAUUCCUAGUGUAGCGGUGAAAUGCGUAGAGAUUAGGAAGAACACCAGUGGCGAAGGCGAUUCUCUGGACUGUAACUGACGCUGAGGCUCGAAAGCGUGGGGAGCAAACAGGAUUAGAUACCCUGGUAGUCCACGCCGUAAACGACGAAAACGAGGUGUAGGGGCCCCCAAGCCUCUGUGCCCCCGCUAACGCAUUUAAGUUAUUCCGCCUGGGGAGUACGGUCGCAAGAUUAAAACUCAAAGGAAUUGACGGGGACCCGCACAAGCAGCGGAGCAUGUGGUUUAAUUCGAAGCAACGCGAAGAACCUUACCUAGACUUGACAUGUCCUGAAUUACCAGUAAUGUGGGAAGUCCCUUCGGGGACAGGAACACAGGUGGUGCAUGGUUGUCGUCAGCUCGUGUCGUGAGAUGUUGGGUUAAGUCCCG
RNAcentral lists this ribosomal RNA (1077 nucleotides) under uncultured bacterium. RNAcentral's name for it is "bacterial SSU rRNA". It matches the Rfam family "Bacterial small subunit ribosomal RNA", at positions 1 to 1089 of the family's 1533-position model. The record is from RNAcentral.